RNAcentral lists this ribosomal RNA (207 nucleotides) under uncultured bacterium. Its description in RNAcentral is "partial 16S ribosomal RNA". It matches the Rfam family "Bacterial small subunit ribosomal RNA", at positions 568 to 775 of the family's 1533-position model. The record is from RNAcentral.
AGCGCAGGCGGGAAACUAAGCGGAUCUUAAAAGUGCGGGGCUCAACCCCGUGAUGGGGUCCGAACUGGUUUUCUUGAGUGCAGGAGAGGAAAGCGGAAUUCCCAGUGUAGCGGUGAAAUGCGUAGAUAUUGGGAAGAACACCAGUGGCGAAGGCGGCUUUCUGGACUGUAACUGACGCUGAGGCUCGAAAGCUAGGGUAGCGAAACG